This 779-nucleotide ribosomal RNA is filed under the name uncultured bacterium. Its description in RNAcentral is "bacterial SSU rRNA". It matches the Rfam family "Bacterial small subunit ribosomal RNA", at positions 8 to 798 of the family's 1533-position model. The record is from RNAcentral.
AGAGUUUGAUCCUGGCUCAGGAUGAACGCUGGCGGCGUGCUUAACACAUGCAAGUCGAACGGUGAACACGGAGCUUGCUCUGUAGGAUCAGUGGCGAACGGGUGAGUAACACGUGAGCAACCUGCCCCUGACUCUGGGAUAAGCGCUGGAAACGGCGUCUAAUACUGGAUAUGUGACGUGAUCGCAUGGUCUGCGUCUGGAAAGAAUUUCGGUUGGGGAUGGGCUCGCGGCCUAUCAGCUUGUUGGUGAGGUAAUGGCUCACCAAGGCGUCGACGGGUAGCCGGCCUGAGAGGGUGACCGGCCACACUGGGACUGAGACACGGCCCAGACUCCUACGGGAGGCAGCAGUGGGGAAUAUUGCACAAUGGGCGCAAGCCUGAUGCAGCAACGCCGCGUGAGGGACGACGGCCUUCGGGUUGUAAACCUCUUUUAGCAGGGAAGAAGCGAAAGUGACGGUACCUGCAGAAAAAGCGCCGGCUAACUACGUGCCAGCAGCCGCGGUAAUACGUAGGGCGCAAGCGUUAUCCGGAAUUAUUGGGCGUAAAGAGCUCGUAGGCGGUUUGUCGCGUCUGCUGUGAAAUCCGGAGGCUCAACCUCCGGCCUGCAGUGGGUACGGGCAGACUAGAGUGCGGUAGGGGAGAUUGGAAUUCCUGGUGUAGCGGUGGAAUGCGCAGAUAUCAGGAGGAACACCGAUGGCGAAGGCAGAUCUCUGGGCCGUAACUGACGCUGAGGAGCGAAAGGGUGGGGAGCAAACAGGCUUAGAUACCCUGGUAGUCCAA